Molecule: ribosomal RNA, 835 nt
Filed under: uncultured bacterium
Lineage: Bacteria
Description: bacterial SSU rRNA
Rfam family: Bacterial small subunit ribosomal RNA
Source: RNAcentral
CAGGUGUAGCGGUGAAAUGCGUAGAGAUCUGGAGGAAUACCGAUGGCGAAGGCAGCCUUCUGGCAUCAUACUGACACUGAGGCUCGAAAGCGUGGGUAGCAAACAGGAUUAGAUACCCUGGUAGUCCACGCCGUAAACGAUGUCUACUAGUCGUUGGGUCCCUUGAGGACUUAGUGACGCAGCUAACGCAAUAAGUAGACCGCCUGGGGAGUACGGCCGCAAGGUUAAAACUCAAAUGAAUUGACGGGGGCCCGCACAAGCGGUGGAGCAUGUGGUUUAAUUCGAUGCAACGCGAAGAACCUUACCUGGUCUUGACAUAUCUAGAAUCCUGCAGAGAUGCGGGAGUGCCUUCGGGAAUUAGAAUACAGGUGCUGCAUGGCUGUCGUCAGCUCGUGUCGUGAGAUGUUGGGUUAAGUCCCGCAACGAGCGCAACCCUUGUCCUUAGUUACCAGCGGGUUAAGCCGGGAACUCUAAGGAUACUGCCAGUGACAAACUGGAGGAAGGCGGGGACGACGUCAAGUCAUCAUGGCCCUUACGACCAGGGCUACACACGUGCUACAAUGGUAGGUACAGAGGGCAGCUACACAGCGAUGUGAUGCGAAUCUCAAAAAGCCUAUCGUAGUCCAGAUUGGAGUCUGCAACUCGACUCCAUGAAGUAGGAAUCGCUAGUAAUCGCGGAUCAGAAUGCCGCGGUGAAUACGUUCCCGGGCCUUGUACACACCGCCCGUCACACCAUGGGAGUUGAUUGCACCAGAAAUGGAUAGCUUAACCUUCGGGGAGGCGUUCACCACGGUGUGGUUGAUGACUGGGGUGAAGUCGUAACAAGGUAGCCGUA